CCCUUAGAUGUUCUGGGCUGCACGCGCGCUACACUGAAGCUAUCAACACGUUUUCCCUCCCUGAGAAGGGCGGGUAACCUUUUGAAUCAGCUUCGUGGUAGGGAUCGGGGCUUGCAAUUGUUCCCCGUGAACCAGGAAUUCCUAGUAGACGCGAGUCAUAAGCUCGCAUCGAUUAAGUCCCUGCCCUUUGUACACACCGCCCGUCGUUACUACCGAUUGAACGUUUUAGUGAGGCAUUUGGACCGACGCAUCUCAGUUUAACCGCUGGUUUGUGUUGGAAAGACUUCCAAACUUGAGCGUUUAGAGGAAGUAAAAGUCGUAACA
This 324-nucleotide ribosomal RNA is filed under the name uncultured eukaryote. Its description in RNAcentral is "partial 18S ribosomal RNA". It matches the Rfam family "Eukaryotic small subunit ribosomal RNA", at positions 1470 to 1796 of the family's 1831-position model. The record is from RNAcentral.